AUCACUUCUCAGGCUUUUGGCUAAGAUCAAGUAUAGUAUCUGUUCUUAUCAGUUUAAUAUCUGAUACAUCUUCUAUCAGAGGACAAUAUACUAAAUGGGUUUUUGGAGUAGGGAGAUGGAAAAAGGGCUGGCUCUGUCCACUCCAUGCAGCAACCUGGUAUUGUUGUACCUCCAGAAACAGUACAGGAAAA
RNAcentral lists this small nuclear RNA (191 nucleotides) under Dasypus novemcinctus (nine-banded armadillo). Its description in RNAcentral is "U2 spliceosomal RNA (ENSDNOG00000047703.1)". It matches the Rfam family "U2 spliceosomal RNA". From Rfam's summary of the family: U2 is a small nuclear RNA (snRNA) component of the spliceosome (involved in pre-mRNA splicing). Complementary binding between U2 snRNA (in an area lying towards the 5' end but 3' to hairpin I) and the branchpoint sequence (BPS) of the intron results the bulging out of an unpaired adenosine, on the BPS, which initiates a nucleophilic attack at the intronic 5' splice site, thus starting the first of two transesterification reactions that mediate splicing. Lineage: Eukaryota; Metazoa; Chordata; Mammalia; Cingulata; Dasypodidae. The record is from RNAcentral.